Molecule: ribosomal RNA, 253 nt
Filed under: uncultured bacterium
Lineage: Bacteria
Description: partial 16S ribosomal RNA
Rfam family: Bacterial small subunit ribosomal RNA
Source: RNAcentral
UACGUAGGAGGCGAGCGUUGUCCGGAAUUACUGGGCGUAAAGCGCACGCAGGCGGUUCGCCAAGUUUGGAGUGACAGUUGUCGGCUCAACCGACAAAGGACUUCAAAAACUGGUGAACUUGAGGACGAGAGAGGAACAUGGAACUCCAGGUGUAGUAGUGAAAUGCGUAGAUAUCUGGAAGAACACCAAUGGCGAAGGCAAUGUUCUGGCUCGUUUCUGACGCUCAGGUGCGAAAGCCAGGGGAGCGAACGGG